Molecule: long non-coding RNA, 6644 nt
Organism: Passer domesticus (house sparrow)
Lineage: Eukaryota; Metazoa; Chordata; Aves; Passeriformes; Passeridae
Exons: 9
Source: RefSeq, a predicted model, not a curated record
GGUUGUUUAAAUGACACAAAUUAUCUCUUCAUUGGAGUGUGAGGUUGAGUUUUGCAAGCCCAGUGAUCAGAGGUUGCAGUAGCUGAGUGUCAGCAGAAGCUCCUGCAGCAAAACUUGACAUUGGAUGGACAAAAACCUCCCAAAUGUACACGCUUUCCAAGUGCUACACUGUCUGUGCUGCGGAGGCCAGGAACUCUGUCAAACAAUACAUGCUACAAGACUGGAGCCAGAGCAGCCAUCUGGAAUGAAGGUGUAGUGCUGGCAGAGAGGAAGAUUCCAGGUUGUGUGUGCCAAGACAAAUUUCUGGUGUGACCAAAACCACAGUCAAGUGAGCAUUACUAAGAGUUCCCUUCCAAAGUGCCUUCCUGAUCUGAACUUGAACACUAGAGUAGAUACACCUUUCAGUGGAUACUGAAUUAGCACAUUCUUCUACAACCCUGUCAUAAAUUGAAGAUGAGGAUGCAGUAAAAGUUAUUGACUAUUUCACUACAUAUCUUCAUAGAUGGGACAUGCUGAGACUGUCAUUCAAGCCCUUGAUGAGACAAACAAGACUGCAUGAGUGGCUAGGUCUUUUUAAACACUGUAUUUCUGAAAACCAAGAAGAGCAGCAAAUACCUUCUCUCUGUAGUGUGCACACUCCUGCCUUUGAGGAAAGGAGGAAAGAAGAGUCAACACAGCACCCACUUUAUUAGAGAAACUAUCCAUGAAAGAAGGAAGAAGAAAGGAGUUAGCUGCACUAGUGACUGGCUGCAGUCAUCUUUCAGCCCUGUUGCUCUCCAGCAGGUGAAGAGGUUGGCAGUGGGGACUGCUGUUUUCUGUGCUCUAAAGGGACACUGAGCAUGAUGUGCUAACCUGGAGAAGCCAUACCAGCUUUCAGCACGGUUGAAGUAUGAUGCUGGAAAAAGGCACUGGUGUAGAUGGAAGUUCCAGCAAUAAAUAUUGAAUAUUCUUUAUACAUUGCCCAGAAGAGAAGUGGGACAAUGAAGUUGUUCAAUGCCAGUGAGAUACUGCAUAAACAAAGCAGCUGUUGGUGGAGCAGAGGAUCAACAUCUCCAAAAGCUGGAAGCUCAGGCAUUCCAUCCUCUCCAGAAUUAAACUGUACUCCAGACUGGUAAUGUACAAAUAGGCCAUCGUUCCACAUUUUCAUAAUUUCCCUUUUGAGCAUGUUACAUGUGCUUGUUCUGGAGUCCGCAUUCAAAAGCAACAUAUGUGCAAGACACACCCAAAGAGCAAGAGCUUCCAUCUCCUACUGUACUGUAGCAGAUGGCUUCUUUGGGAUUUUCAUGCAAAAAAUACAACUGAAUACACUGGGAUUCCUAUCUCAUGUCCCCUACAGAUCCACAGGCUAGGAAUGAAGAAGGAAAUAUAAUGUGACUGCUCACUGCAGCCCUGACUGCCUUGUGCUUCACUUGUGAUGAUUCAUGAGGACUGUCUUGGUGGUGCAGUUCUAAUCUAGGGGUUCCAGACAAAACCAUAGCUACUGGCAUUUGGACAACUGACCCCAUAAGGAGAGGGGAUAAUCUCCAGUGCCAUGGCAGUAAUUGCCAGCUGCUUUUUUAUUUUUUUAUUUUUUAGUGGGAAAACCAUACAUAUAGACAAUGCUUUGUUUGACGACAAAAACAUUUAGAAACAUGCCCAACAAGACAACAGCGUUCAGCAUGUUAAAAUAAUCUCCUUCUAUUCAGUAGCUUGGCAUAGAUCUCAUUACCUGCUGCAUCAGGUCACAUCAGCUGAUGUGUGUGCUGCCUGGCAUGAUGUGCACAGCAUGAAAGCAACUGACACAGCAUUGCCUCUCCCCAGCACAGAGAUGGGGAGCAUUGGAUGCUCAGACAACAACUGAUGAAGUUAUUAAAUCCUCUCUGUCACCUGCAGCUAGGCAAAUGACCAAAUUCUCUGAAGAAUCUUCAUUUAAUAGCAAAUUUUUAUUGUUGUGCUGGCUUGAGGACAGGGUUUUCUUGCAGAGCACCUCCACUGCCACUGCAUCAGAAACUCAUGUUGGGCUGUUGAGGGCUGAGUGCCCCAGAGACAGCCAGGCAGUGAGUGUGGGAAGCAUGCACAUACUGCAGGGUGUGCAAGGCCAUUCCCACUGAUUUAAGUAGUUAUAGUCCUCUACAAAAAUAUUAACAUGGCAGGUAUAAAACCAAAAGCUUCAUGGCUAUCCACAGAUAUUGAGAGAUUUGCACUAACUUCUUAAACCAUAAUGCUAAACCAUUGCAGAAAAUAAAUUUUCUGAAAGCUGGGCUAAGAGGGCACAUUUCAAAAAUAAAAAGCUUGGGAAACUCAUUGAGAUAAUGAGCUGUAGGUGAUUAACCCAAUCACUCUUGAGGUCACCAGCAGUAUUAGAGCCAUAAUCCCAUUGAUUUAGAUUAUUGUACAGUUUUUUAUUUCAGUAACUUCUAGGCUGUAUGUUUUUAUGUUAUGUCUUACUCUUGCUUGAUGGUGUGUAAGGCCUCACCAGAAAUCAAGGGUGAAUAUUGUUCAAGCAAAGAAAAUUGUACCUCUCCUUAUCACACGAAGUUAUUUCCAGACUCUGUAAAAUUUCAAAUUUCAAACUUGUGUCUGGAAACUCUGGAGAAAUUGUGGCAAGUUUGGAAAAUAGAAAAAAGGGGUGCUCCUGCUGUCCUCCCCCCGUGUAUUUGCCUCUCCGGGCAGCGUGCCUGACUCGCUGUGCAGCUCCCUGCUGCCAGCCCUUGUUUUGUGCUCCGGAGGUCAUGAAAGGAAGCUGGUGUUUUUCUAAUCAUGACCACCAGGUUCAGAACAGGGGAAGAACAAAGAUGGGGAGACAUUGGAGAGAUAAUGUUGGGCUACUGCAAUGGCUCUAAUGGCUAUUUUACACUGAAGAAUGAAUUGAGGCUUCAUAGUUGGAAGCUGGAAGAGGGUUGUGGCAGAAUUGCUGUGAAAGCCUGAGGAGACCUAGUGACUGAAUGCACAUGUAAAGCAGAGUAAUGAUGCAGUCUCCAUGGCAGCAUCUCAGAAUUGUACAGUAAUAUUUUGAAAUGUAAUAUAGAUUCUAAUUUUUCAGUCUUAACCCAUCAAAUCAGUUUUCCUAUAAAUACCCACGCUAUCCAGUCUCCCAAAGAACUAAGGCUGACAGUUAUUUUAAGCCUGCCCAACCAAAGACAAAAAUGCAAUUUCCAUUCCCUGCCAAAAUGCACUCCUUCAGUUAGGAGAGCAGAAGGAUUUUGAUUUUAGGCAGGCGAAAUCAAGGAAAUACAGAAAUUACAGGAGGAACAUGAUCUCUGCUUCCUCGUAUAUCUGGAUUAUGGGAACCUUCAAUUGCCAGCAUCUGAAAACACUGAAACUCUGUGGGCAUGUAGGUAGGAAAUCUUCUUACCAUGACUGGCUACACCACCAAUCAACUCAGGGCACAAAAGGGCUGCUGAAUCUGUCUGAAGCCACUGGUGUUCACCGUGGUGUGUAACUCAGAGCACAUCUGAAAAGAGAGUGGCUGCAUCUGCAGACAAAAACUACAGGCUUAAAUAGACACCUAGCGAAACAAGCCCCAGGUGCUCUGCUGAACCCACUAGUGUCUCAGUAUGUGCCUUUGUGUCUCAGGAAGCUGAUGCUGAUCCCAGGUAACUGGGAGCAAGUGUGAACACCCAAGGAAGCAAGUGAAUGUCCUCAGUGAUGGUUGUCUGGUCUCCAUAAUAACAGCUGGAUUCCAUUCAGCCUAAGAGCUUGACCGAGAAAAGAUGCUCCAAUGAAUACUAGUCGUGAUCUAUGGCUCCACCCGACUUCAUCCUCUGUUGAGGAAGUUCACAAUGAUCUUAUGAGAGCUGCUGAAAAGUUGUCAAAGUUGUUGAUUAUCAAAGAAUGGCAAGGGUGAGGAUGGUUAAUGGGGUUGUAUUGGAUGGUGUGGGACCUGAGUAGGACAUAAAUGGUAUGGAAUAAGGGGUGGAUUGUGCAGAUUUUGGCUGGGGUAAAGUUAAUUUUCUUCACAGUAGCUAAUAUGGAGCUAUGUUUUGGAUUUGGCUGAACAGAGUGCUAAUAAUGCAGAGAUGUUUUUGUUCUUGUUGAGCAGGGCUUACACAGAGGCAAGGCCUUUUCUGCUUUCCUGCUAUAACACUGGCAAGGAUGUUGGGGGUGUGUGGGAGGCUGGGAAGAGACAUAGCUGGGAGAGGUGACCCAGACUGACCAAAGGGAUAUUCCAAAGCAUGUGACAUCAUGCCCAGAACAUGAAGUGAGGGGAAGAAGGAGGGCAGUGGGGGACAUUUGGGGUGAUGGCCUUUGUCUUCCCAAGUCACCAUUACAUGUGACAGGACCCUGCUCUCCUGGAGAUGGCUGAACACCUGCCUGCCCAUGGGUAGCAGUGAAUUAAUUCCUUGUUGUGCUUUGCUUGUGUGUGUGUGGCUUCUGCUUUCCCUAUUAAGCUGUCUUUAUCUCAACCCAUGAGUUUUCCAGAUUUUAUCAUUCUAAUUCUCUACCCAGUCCUGCUGAUGUGGUAGUGAGUGAGUGUCUCUGUGGGGCUUGGUUGCCAGCUGGGGUGAAACCACAACAAAAGUUAUAAUGGGAAAACAUGCCCUUAUUCAUCACUGUGCAAAUGUAAUUAUUAUGCAAAGAGGUAUAACUCAUUUUGAAAUUACUUGGAUUUGUGGUAUAGCUCUAUAUACACAUUCUACUGAGUCUGAAAUAUUUGCUUGAUCAUCCCAGACUAGGUUUUCUAACCCCACUCCCAUUUUCACCUUGUGUGCAGAGCACUUGGAUAUCUUAACCCUGGACUGCUCUUACAGACUGGCUGCUUUGAAGACCAGAUAUGAAAAGGUUUGGACAGACAUAAAGUAGUGUCCCCUGUAAAAAUCAGAAACCCAGUCUUAUCCUCUGAUGGAAAGCAAUGGGCUAAAAUCUGCCAGUCAGGCAUGACAGCUCAGACCCAUGCUAGAAUUACUAAUUAAAAAAAAUAAGUUACUCAUGCUCUUGGCAAGUUACAUGUAUUGCCAUCUGUAGUAGCAGUUACAUAAGUGGUGCCAGGAUUUCUUUAGGAAUUGAGAGCAUUUUAUUCUUUCCAAUCCUCAGAGACACAUUAAGGUGUUGCUAACAGCUUUGUUGCUAAUUACACUUACAACUAAAGAAACAUGAAAUAAAUAAGUAUAGCAUGAGACAAUGACAAGGAAUGUCAGAUAAAUAAGAGAAUAAUCAAUAAACAAGUAUUUCUAACAAUUAUCUUUGUGGAAACUGGAAACUCUGAUUUUCAAAUGGGGAGAUACCUACUCAGUGAUGCAGGUGCUGUGCCAGCUUGCAAAUAAAUAAGAAAGAAGGGUCUGGCAGAUACUUGUCUGUGUGAGGUGUUGGGAUUCACUCCAUCCAGAAUCAAGCUCAGGAUAAAACAUGGCAUCUGGAUAAGAAAGAGCAGGAAAUUGCACAGCUGUUUCAAGACAGUGCAGCAAUCAUUGCCCAAAUUCAGGGAUCCAGUGUUGGCCGUGAUGCUUUAGAGAUGUCCCUUGGUCUCCCAGAGGUCCCAAUUCUAUCUGCUGGCCCUGUGCAGGUGCUCCAUCCCACUGGCACCACGUCCCAGGCCCCAGGAAAGGAGGCAGGAGGGGUGAAAUGCAAGUGCAUGGUGAAAAGUGAAAACAACCUGAUCAUAUGGAGGUCACUGACUGGGAUGUGGGGGCAGCACAGAUAACCAUCAGCACCAGCUGAUAGAUUUCACCUGGGGAGAAAGAAGAGGAGGAGGAGGAGGAGGAAGAGGAAGAAGAACGCUCAUGGUACUGCAUUUAAACGUGAGCCAAAAGCUCACCCACGGUCAUUUUCAGGCAGAAAAUUUAGAUAUGGUCUUCAGUCUUUUCUAUUUGUACCACAGAUGGUGAAUAUAUUACCCAGCUUGUCCUAUUUUUCAGCUGUGACUGUAAGUUUUCUGCACAUAUUCGUGCCUUUGUAGAGGCUCCUGGUGCAGGUGUUAAUUCUCCCCAAAAUCUGAGCUGAUUGGGAGCUACAAUCACACCCUUAGGGAUGAAAAAGUGGAAAUGUUGGAAAAGUGGGAAGGUCACAAUUUCAAAAACAACUCCAUGUCCCUCCUGCUUCUUAAUAAGUCAUAUUUUUAAAAUCUUAUUUCUCUACAGGGGUUGAUUCUACCUUGUUAUUUGUACAGCUUCUGGUAUCAUCAAGUACAAAUGUGGAACCCUUGGCAUUACCAUUGUACAAAUUCUUAAAAAAAUGUUCUUAAAGACAAAAAAGAUUUUUUUUUCUCUCUGUUUAUAUCUUAAGAUCAUCUCUCUGACAUGUUUUAUAAUUAAAAUAUAUAUAGCAGAAACAAUGACUAAUUAGAAAAAAAUUACAGGUUUAUGCCUUUCUGUAUAAAACAUUAAAAACUGCAACAAGCAAAGAUGUUUCAUAGUUCCAGAAAUACAAUUAUAUAUUAUUUCUUAAUCGUCAAUUAUAUAUUAAUUUCUUAAUUAAUAUGCUCAGUCAGAAAAGUCAGUCAAUCAAAGCAAACCUUAGCUCCCACUUUAACAUUAAAACCUAAAAAAGGGUAUGUUGAUUUAAAAUAAGCAGGCACACCCUAGAGGAAAGCAUGAAAUGCCACAGUUUCAUAUGGGACUGUAUUUAAUAUGAUAAUAUCAUGUGAAAUAUAAUGCAGAAAAUACCAUUAAUACUAAUUUUUUUAAAAACCCUUUUCUAAAAAGUGCUGCCUAUUUUGUGUUUAUACA